Callithrix jacchus (white-tufted-ear marmoset) is the source of this 2035-nucleotide long non-coding RNA. RefSeq lists it as uncharacterized. The record is from RefSeq and is a predicted model, not a curated record. NCBI's taxonomy places the organism in Eukaryota, Metazoa, Chordata, Mammalia, Primates, Cebidae.
CUGCAGACCAGACAGCUUAAGUGAUAUACCCAAAGUCACCCAAGAUCAACCUGUUUAGUGACCUGCAGGACUAGCGUCUAGGCCUUGGGACAUACCGACCCAUCUGUUCUAUGCUCAAUGGUUAAAACGGACCAGAGCAAACAAAUGACUUCAUUACAUGAACAACUAAGAAAAUUAUCCUUGCACUGGAAUCCACUCAAAGGUAAUUGUAUGCUUUUCAAAUGUGGCUUUGAGAAACUUGCUGAUCUUAAAAAAUAGAGACCUGACUGGGCGCGGUGGCUCAAGCCUGUAAUCCCAGCAUUUUGGGAGGCCGAGGCGGGUGGAUCAUGAGGUCAAGAGAUCGAGACCAUCCUGGUCAACAUGGUGAAACCCUGUCUCUACUAAAAAUACAAAAAAUUAGCUGGGCAUGGUGGCGCAUGCCUGUAAUCCCAGCUACUCAGGAGGCUGAGGCAGGAGAAUUGCCUGGACCCAGGAGGCGGAGGUUGUGGUGAGCCGAGAUCGCGCCAUUGCACUCCAGCCUGGGUAACAAGAGUGAAACUCCGUCUCAAAAAAAUAAAUAAAUAAAAAUAAAAAAUAGAGACCUAGGUGGACAUUCAAGAUAGCAUCAAGAAACGAAGACUUUUAUGGAAGUCAAAAUCAGCAAAAAUCUCUUCAAAAUAGGAAGCUGGAUCAGAUUAAGUAUGACAGUAAGAGUCUAAGUGUGUUUGUUGAAUGAGUGCUCUUGGCAACCCAAGCUCGUGGGAAUACCAGGAGGUUUACAGCUUCAUGUUCCAUUCUGUGCAAAGGAAGUUCUCCUGCCAUGAUGAAUAAUGGGUCCAGGGUUUGGUUCAUUCUUUCCAUCUAGAACAUUCUUUUCUCCUGGCUGCUCUUCCCAGUUUGACUGCCUCUCAGUUCCAUUUACCACGACCCCCUUCAUGUGUAGUUUAUCCAGAUUUUACUCAUUCAUGAGCUUAAGGGGAAAUGCGAGAGGGAGUCACGCAGGACAAUUGCCCUCAGACCUUGCACCCUACCUGGAGAUUUUGAAAUGACCAUGGAGGUGCAUGACUGUGGAUAUACACAAAACCCCGGAUGGAUCACUGGCCGUGCUAGAGACCACACAAAAACCCAAGGAAGCUCCUAGCACUAAUUACCUUAUACACGAGGCUCAACUGGGAACUGCCCAUAUGCAGGAAAUCCGAUUAAAUUCAAUAAGCAAUGAGGAGUCCUUGAAGGUCUUGAGCAGCUGAGUAACAUGCACCUGCAUGAAGCUCUGCUCAUGGGAGGCACAACCAAUUUGUUGGCUGAUUGAUUCUGUGGUGGAGGCAGAGGGGGGAUAUCUGUGGAAUGAAUCUGUAUCUACUGGAACAGACCAUCUGUGCCACCCACCCCAGAAGAGAAGCAACCACAAGCUGGAGUAGCGCAGCAUUGGCCAUAGGUAAAUUACAAAACGGAGUUUAUCCCAAUGCUCCCCACCUGCUAACCAUCACCCCUUCCCACCUCUGGGCACCCCUGCAUUGACCAGUUCUCAGGCCUGACCUCAAUUCUGACCCUGCACCCUGGCAGGCCAAGGGCCUCAGCGGUCAUAAUGAAGGUGGAAACUCAGACUUUCAAAAUUGCCGGAACAGUCAGUCAUCCCUGGCUUCUGUAAGGGGCCCAAACCUUCCUUCCUCCCACCUCCAAAAGAGGUUACAUUCUCCAGCUUAACCUGAGGUGUACAACAGAGAAAACGGGCAAGAGCACAGCAGGUUACAAAGAACCACCUGCAGCCUGCCACACCCAGGCUCCCACAGUGAGAAAGAAAAGUGCCACCUACCCCAGCAUGGUGAGCCAGCCAGUGGGAAGGCUCCCACUCCUCCCCAGCAGGACAACACGAACACCGCAAUGGAUCUGCUUGCCCGGGGGAAAGGAGGUUGCAGGGGCAGCUCCUAUCAAAGCUGCCGACCCUGGUCCCGAGUGCUCAAGAGGAAGAGGACUAGGCCCCGUGAAGGACGUCCCCUCCUGCUGUCCACUCCCCUCAUUUCAGGAUUCCCACCACAGAGCCCACAACACUUCAAAG